This 519-nucleotide ribosomal RNA is filed under the name uncultured bacterium. RNAcentral describes it as "bacterial SSU rRNA". It matches the Rfam family "Bacterial small subunit ribosomal RNA", at positions 778 to 1297 of the family's 1533-position model. The record is from RNAcentral.
AUAGAUACCCAGGUAGUCCACGCCGUAAACGAUGAGUGCUAAGUGUUAGAGGGUUUCCGCCCUUUAGUGCUGAAGUUAACGCAUUAAGCACUCCGCCUGGGGAGUACGGCCGCAAGGCUGAAACUCAAAGGAAUUGACGGGGGCCCGCACAAGCGGUGGAGCAUGUGGUUUAAUUCGAAGCAACGCGAAGAACCUUACCAGGUCUUGACAUCCUCUGAUAACCCUAGAGAUAGGGCUUCUCCUUCGGGAGCAGAGUGACAGGUGGUGCAUGGUUGUCGUCAGCUCGUGUCGUGAGAUGUUGGGUUAAGUCCCGCAACGAGCGCAACCCUUGAUCUUAGUUGCCGUCAUUAAGUUGGGCACUCUAAGGUGACUGCCGGUGACAAACCGGAGGAAGGUGGGGAUGACGUCAAAUCAUCAUGCCCCUUAUGACCUGGGCUACACACGUGCUACAAUGGACGGUACAAAGAGCUGCAAGACCGCGAGGUGGAGCUAAUCUCAUAAAACCGUUCUCAGUUCGGA